GGGUUGUGAGGUUAAGCGACUAAGCGUACACGGUGGAUGCCCUGGCAGUCAGAGGCGAUGAAGGACGUGCUAAUCUGCGAUAAGCGUCGGUAAGGUGAUAUGAACCGUUAUAACCGGCGAUUUCCGAAUGGGAAACCCAGUGUGAUUCGUCACACUAUCAUUAACUGAAUCCAUAGGUUAAUGAGGCGAACCGGGGAACUGAAACAUCUAAGUACCCCGAGGAAAAGAAAUCAACCGAGAUUCCCCAGUAGCGGCGAGCGAACGGGGAGGAGCCCAGAGCCUGAAUCAGUGUGUGUGUUAGUGGAAGCAUCUGGAAAGGCGCGCGAUACAGGGUGACAGCCCCGUACACAAAAAUGCACAUGCUGUGAGCUCGAUGAGUAGGGCGGGACACGUGGUAUCCUGUCUGAAUAUGGGGGGACCAUCCUCCAAGGCUAAAUACUCCUGACUGACCGAUAGUGAACCAGUACCGUGAGGGAAAGGCGAAAGAACCCCGGCGAGGGGAGUGAAAAAGAACCUGAAACCGUGUACGUACAAGCAGUGGGAGCCUCUUUAUGGGGUGACUGCGUACCUUUUGUAUAAUGGGUCAGCGACUUAUAUUCUGUAGCAAGGUUAACCGAAUAGGGGAGCCGAAGGGAAACCGAGUCUUAACUGG
This 652-nucleotide ribosomal RNA is filed under the name Escherichia coli. Its description in RNAcentral is "bacterial LSU rRNA". It matches the Rfam family "Bacterial large subunit ribosomal RNA", at positions 1 to 691 of the family's 2925-position model. The record is from RNAcentral. Lineage: Bacteria; Pseudomonadati; Pseudomonadota; Gammaproteobacteria; Enterobacterales; Enterobacteriaceae.